This 222-nucleotide unclassified non-coding RNA is filed under the name Hevea brasiliensis (rubber tree). Lineage: Eukaryota; Viridiplantae; Streptophyta; Magnoliopsida; Malpighiales; Euphorbiaceae. The record is from RNAcentral.
AGUUGAUGAGUUUUUGGUGAAAAUUAGGUGAAAAAAAUGUGUGUACAAGAAAUGAUAGGUAUAUUGCAAAGUAUGGCAUUUGUUGAUUUGGAGAAGGCAUUCCUUUGCGUAUAAAAAGGAAGUUUACUGGAGUUUUUUGUGUGUAUGUGUGCUGUGUAGUGAGAAUGUGCAGAGAAAGUAAGAAUUAGAGAUUGAGCAAGUUGUGAGAGAAAAAAUGAAGAA